GACGAACGCUGGCGGCGUGCCUAAUACAUGCAAGUAGAGCGCUGAAGAGAGGAGCUUGCUCUUCUUGGAUGAGUUGCGAACGGGUGAGUAACGCGUAGGUAACCUGCCUUGUAGCGGGGGAUAACUAUUGGAAACGAUAGCUAAUACCGCAUAACAAUGGAUGACACAUGUCAUUUAUUUGAAAGGGGCAAUUGCUCCACUACAAGAUGGACCUGCGUUGUAUUAGCUAGUAGGUGAGGUAAUGGCUCACCUAGGCGACGAUACAUAGCCGACCUGAGAGGGUGAUCGGCCACACUGGGACUGAGACACGGCCCAGACUCCUACGGGAGGCAGCAGUAGGGAAUCUUCGGCAAUGGGGGCAACCCUGACCGAGCAACGCCGCGUGAGUGAAGAAGGUUUUCGGAUCGUAAAGCUCUGUUGUAAGUCAAGAACGGGUGUGAGAGUGGAAAGUUCACACUGUGACGGUAGCUUACCAGAAAGGGACGGCUAACUACGUGCCAGCAGCCGCGGUAAUACGUAGGUCCCGAGCGUUGUCCGGAUUUAUUGGGCGUAAAGCGAGCGCAGGCGGUUUGAUAAGUCUGAAGUUAAAGGCUGUGGCUCAACCAUAGUUCGCUUUGGAAACUGUCAAACUUGAGUGCAGAAGGGGAGAGUGGAAUUCCAUGUGUAGCGGUGAAAUGCGUAGAUAUAUGGAGGGACACCGGUGGCGAAAGCGGCUCUCUGGUCUGUAACUGACGCUGAGGCUCGAAAGCGUGGGGAGCGAACAGG
This 765-nucleotide ribosomal RNA is filed under the name uncultured Streptococcus sp. RNAcentral describes it as "bacterial SSU rRNA". It matches the Rfam family "Bacterial small subunit ribosomal RNA", at positions 28 to 776 of the family's 1533-position model. The record is from RNAcentral. Lineage: Bacteria; Bacillati; Bacillota; Bacilli; Lactobacillales; Streptococcaceae.